CUUGAGAUGGCUCAGGGGUUAAGAGCACUGGCUGCUUUUCCAGAGGUUCUGAGUUCAAUUCCCAGUCACCAUG
RNAcentral lists this transfer RNA (73 nucleotides) under Rattus norvegicus (Norway rat). It matches the Rfam family "tRNA". Rfam says of the family: Transfer RNA (tRNA) molecules are approximately 80 nucleotides in length. Their secondary structure includes four short double-helical elements and three loops (D, anti-codon, and T loops). Further hydrogen bonds mediate the characteristic L-shaped molecular structure. tRNAs have two regions of fundamental functional importance: the anti-codon, which is responsible for specific mRNA codon recognition, and the 3' end, to which the tRNAs corresponding amino acid is attached (by aminoacyl-tRNA synthetases). tRNAs cope with the degeneracy of the genetic code in two manners: having more than one tRNA (with a specific anti-codon) for a particular amino acid; and 'wobble' base-pairing, i.e. permitting non-standard base-pairing at the 3rd anti-codon position. Lineage: Eukaryota; Metazoa; Chordata; Mammalia; Rodentia; Muridae. The record is from Rfam by way of RNAcentral.